AGGUCACUGCUAUUGGGAUUCGACUAAGCCAUGCGAGUCGUGAGGGUUCGGCCCUCGGCAGACGGCUCAGUAACACGUAGAUAAUUUGCCCUUAGGUGGAGGAUACCCUCGGGAAACUGAGAAUAAUACUCCAUAGAUCUAGACUGCUGGAAUGCUUUUAGAUUGAAAGAUUUAUCGCCUAAGGAUAAGUCUGCGGACUAUCAGGUUGUAGUCAGGGUAAAGACCUGACUAGCCUACGACGGAUACGGGUAGUGAGAGCUUUAGCCCGGAGAUGAUAUCUGAGACACGAUAUCAGGCCCUACGGGGCGCAGCAGGCGCGAAAACUUCGCACUGUGCGAAAGCACGACGAGGGAAUCCCAAGUGCUGGCUCGUAAGAGUCAGCUGUUUCUCUGUCUAAAAAACAGAGAGAGUAAGGCCUGGGUAAGACGGGUGCCAGCCGCCGCGGUAAUACCUGCAGACCAAGUGGUGGCCGCUAUUAUUGGGCCUAAAACGUCCGUAGCCGGUUCUAUAAAUGCCUGGGUAAAUCGUACGGCUUAACCGUACGAAUUCCGGGUAGACUGUUCAACUUGGGACCGGGAGAGGCUAGAGGUACUCCUGGGGUAGAGGUGAAAUUCUGUAAUCCUAGGGGGACCACCAGUGGCGAAGGCGUCUAGCUAGAACGGGUCUGACGGUGGGGGACGAAGCCCUGGGGAGCAAACGGGAUUAGAUACCCCGGUAGUCCAGGGUGUAAACGCUGCUCGCUUGAUGUUAGUCGGGCUCCGAGCCCAACUAGUGUCGGAGAGAAGUUGUUAAGCGAGCUGCCUGGGGAGUACGGUCGCAAGAUUGAAACUUAAAGGAAU
RNAcentral lists this ribosomal RNA (839 nucleotides) under uncultured euryarchaeote. Its description in RNAcentral is "bacterial SSU rRNA". It matches the Rfam family "Archaeal small subunit ribosomal RNA", at positions 21 to 865 of the family's 1478-position model. Lineage: Archaea; Methanobacteriati; Methanobacteriota. The record is from RNAcentral.